This 106-nucleotide small nucleolar RNA is filed under the name Olea europaea subsp. europaea. Its description in RNAcentral is "Plant small nucleolar RNA R71". It matches the Rfam family "Plant small nucleolar RNA R71". Rfam says of the family: R71 is a member of the C/D box family of snoRNAs containing the C (UGAUGA) and D (CUGA) box motifs. Multiple nearly identical copies of this snoRNA have been identified in Arabidopsis, and it is thought to function as a 2'-O-ribose methylation guide for 18S ribosomal RNA. The record is from Rfam by way of RNAcentral. Lineage: Eukaryota; Viridiplantae; Streptophyta; Magnoliopsida; Lamiales; Oleaceae.
AACCAUGGUGGGGGCAAAGGACUUGCAAUUCCUUGAAUUUUUCCCAUGCUUGGAAUAAAGUAUCAUUAUCCUUUUGGGCAAAUGAAGAAAUUUACUUCUUCAUGGC